This 72-nucleotide transfer RNA is filed under the name Chitinophagales bacterium. Its description in RNAcentral is "tRNA-Phe". It matches the Rfam family "tRNA". Rfam says of the family: Transfer RNA (tRNA) molecules are approximately 80 nucleotides in length. Their secondary structure includes four short double-helical elements and three loops (D, anti-codon, and T loops). Further hydrogen bonds mediate the characteristic L-shaped molecular structure. tRNAs have two regions of fundamental functional importance: the anti-codon, which is responsible for specific mRNA codon recognition, and the 3' end, to which the tRNAs corresponding amino acid is attached (by aminoacyl-tRNA synthetases). tRNAs cope with the degeneracy of the genetic code in two manners: having more than one tRNA (with a specific anti-codon) for a particular amino acid; and 'wobble' base-pairing, i.e. permitting non-standard base-pairing at the 3rd anti-codon position. Lineage: Bacteria; Pseudomonadati; Bacteroidota; Chitinophagia; Chitinophagales. The record is from RNAcentral.
GGACAGGUAGCUCCAAUGGUAGAGCAGUGGUUUGAAGCACCACGCGUAAUGGUUCGAUUCCAUUGCUGUCCA